This 278-nucleotide small RNA is filed under the name Nannospalax galili (Upper Galilee mountains blind mole rat). RNAcentral describes it as "7SK RNA (ENSNGAG00000006187.1)". The stretch from base 1 to 192 matches the Rfam family "7SK RNA". From Rfam's summary of the family: 7SK was discovered as an abundant small nuclear RNA in the mid-70s but a possible function has only recently been suggested. Two independent studies have found that 7SK RNA binds the CDK9/cyclin T complex (known as elongation factor P-TEFb). The record is from RNAcentral. Lineage: Eukaryota; Metazoa; Chordata; Mammalia; Rodentia; Spalacidae.
GGAUGUGGGGGUGAUGUGGCUUCUACUUCAUUACCCCACUGAUGGCCAGGGUUGAUUCAGCUGAUCUGGAUGGUUAGACAUAUGUCCCUUUCCUUCCUCACCACUCCUCAACUCUCCUGAAGCCAAUGGAUUAAACAGAUAGUUGAAAAGAAUGACCUUGUCUCAUAGUGGAGGACAGGUUUUCGGUCAAGCUCAAAGCUACUUAGACCUUGACCAAUUUUACAAAAAUAAUAUAUAAAUAAUACUGAACAUCAUGGGAGGGGUAUAAUGAAUAUUUU